CGCCUUUGGACUAAGAUCAAAAGGUUGGGCCUGCCCGGUGUCUUGACGAUAAACGGCUGCAGUACUCUGACUGUGCAAAGGUAGCAAAAUCAAUUGUUCAUUAAUUGUGGACUGGAAUCAAUGGCUUGACGAUAAAAUGACUGUNUUUGUUCAUUAAAAUUAAAAAUUAGCAUAAAAGUGAAGAGGCUUUUAUGAAUUAGCGGGACGAGAAGACCCCGUUGAGCUUUAAUUAGGCCUUAUUUAGAUCAAAGUCACCUAAUUUUAGUUGGGGCAACUAUUUUUCUAUUAUAACACAAAAAUAUUAUAAUUAUGAUUUAAAUCCACCACGAUCCUUAACUGUUAGGACUAAUAAAAACAAGUUACCACGGGGAUAACAGCGUAAUUUUUUUUGAGAGUUCUUAUUGACAAAAAAGUUUGCGACCUCGAUGUUGGAUCAUAGCAUCCUAGGGGUGCAGCCGCUCCUAAGGGCUGGUUUGUUCAACCAUUAAAGCUAU
This 494-nucleotide ribosomal RNA is filed under the name Macrophiothrix megapoma. Its description in RNAcentral is "partial 16S ribosomal RNA". It matches the Rfam family "Bacterial large subunit ribosomal RNA", at positions 1829 to 2597 of the family's 2925-position model. The record is from RNAcentral. Lineage: Eukaryota; Metazoa; Echinodermata; Ophiuroidea; Amphilepidida; Ophiotrichidae.